Molecule: long non-coding RNA, 1475 nt
Organism: Pipistrellus kuhlii (Kuhl's pipistrelle)
Lineage: Eukaryota; Metazoa; Chordata; Mammalia; Chiroptera; Vespertilionidae
Exons: 2
Source: RefSeq, a predicted model, not a curated record
UAGCCAUAAGAAGUCACAAAGUACCUAUCACUUUCCCCUAUAAUAAAGCUGAAAGAAAUAGCUUGUGAAGAAUUUGAGAAAUGACAUAUAGAUGGUCUGGAUAAGACCAAUUACAUUUUUAGAAAUUCUUAAUUCUUUAGUUCUAAAAAUAGGCAACUCCCCCCAAGUAGAAAAACCCAAUGGUUAGAUUUAUUUCAACAACAAAAAGAGGAAUUAACACUGUAAACAAGUGGCCCUGGCCAGGUGGCUCAGUUGGUUGGGCGUUGUCAGGGUACACACCUGUUAUGGCUUCGAUCCCCAGUGAGGGCAAGUAGGAGUCAACUGAUCAAUGUUUUUCUCUCACACUGAUGUCUCUCUCUUUCUCUCUGCUCUCUCCCUUCCCCUUCCUCUCUAAAAAAAUCAAUAAAACGUAUCCUGGGGUACGGAUUUAAAUUAAUUAAAAUUGUAAGCAAGUGGGUAGCCAUCAUAACAUAGUAACUAUCAAACCAGGAAGUCCAUGACCAAUAGACUACUUUAGUGUAAACGAAUGCUCACUACAUUCUUCACCCCAGGAAGGCAGCAGUACUUAAGACAGAAAUUUGGGGAAAACUAGUCAAAAUAUCUAAGAUCACAAAUAUCAUCUUGGUAUUUGGAUUCAAAACCCACUUUGACGGUGGCAAGACAAGUGGCUCUGGUAUGAUUUAUGAUUCCUUAAAGAACCCAAACAUAGGUUUGCAAGAAAAGCCCAUAAAAGACUUCAAGAACAGAAUGGAAGUCAGGGGAACUGCAAAGGCCAAUGUUGGUGCUGGCAAAAAUGAGCAAAGAUUCUUCAUUGGCUUUAUCUGUACAGAUUUUUCAUGAGAGGAUUAAUAAAUUAAGAACGUAAAAGAAACCCCACAAAAUUAUAAGCAAACUAAAGAGAACCCCAUUACCUUGUGCUGUUCAGGGACAGGUGUGGUGCAUUUAUAGGAGUAAUCCAAGCCCAUUUCCCCAAAUGCCACGGCCUUGGGAUGCCUUAAGGCUUGCAAAAGAUUUCUUUCUUGACUCUCAUUGUAGUAACGAGCAAAAUGAGGGUGACAGCCAAAGGCCCCCCAAACCAGAUCCUCUUUCAACAAAUCCUCCCAUAGGGUAUCUGUCAGUGUCCUGGGAUCACAGAAGUCAGAGAUGCAGCCCUGAAAUUCCUUAGGGAAGGAGGUGCUAUAAAUUCUCCUGAACUUGCUGAAGGUCCCUUGGAAAGCCAACUUGGAAUAGAGCAUGUCCAAGUGACAAUGGGUAUCAAUGAAACCCGCCUCUAGGUUUGGCUCUACAUGGCUCCUUGGCAGAGAGCUAGAUGCAUGUCCUUCAUAAGAACGGGGUGGCGGCUCCUCCUGGAAUGUUCUUUUCUCCUUCACCUUUUCUUGUAAGCUUCUGGAGUAAUGAUAUGAGCGAGAAUUCUGGGAUCUGCCUUCCUCUGUCGCCUCCCAAUCUCUAGAGGUGUUUUGGGAGCUCACUGUAGA